Molecule: ribosomal RNA, 226 nt
Filed under: uncultured bacterium
Lineage: Bacteria
Description: partial 16S ribosomal RNA
Rfam family: Bacterial small subunit ribosomal RNA
Source: RNAcentral
GCGUUAUCCGGAUUCAUUGGGUUUAAAGGGUGCGUAGGCGGAAUGGUAAGUCAGUGGUGAAAGCCCUUCGCUUAACGAAGGAACUGCCUCUGAUACUGCCAAUCUUGGGUACAUUUGAUGUGGGCGGAAUGUGUCAUGUAGCGGUGAAAUGCUUAGAUAUGACACAGAACACCGAUUGCGAAGGCAGCUCACAAAACUGUAACUGACGCUGAGGCACGAAAGCGUG